AGUGAACGCUGGCGGUAGGCCUAACACAUGCAAGUCGAACGGCAGCACAGUAAGAGCUUGCUCUUACGGGUGGCGAGUGGCGGACGGGUGAGGAAUACAUCGGAAUCUACUUUUUCGUGGGGGAUAACGUAGGGAAACUUACGCUAAUACCGCAUACGACCUACGGGUGAAAGCAGGGGAUCUUCGGACCUUGCGCGAUUGAAUGAGCCGAUGUCGGAUUAGCUAGUUGGCGGGGUAAAGGCCCACCAAGGCGACGAUCCGUAGCUGGUCUGAGAGGAUGAUCAGCCAGACUGGGACUGAGACACGGUCCAGACUCCUACGGGAGGCGGCAGUGGGGAAUAUGGGACAAUGGGCGCAAGCCUGAUCCAGCCAUACCGAGUGGGUGUAGAAGGCCUUCGGGUUGUAAAGCCCUGUUGUUGGGAUAGAAAAGCAGCAGGUUAAUACCCAGCUGUUCUGACGGUACCCAAAGAAUAAGCACCGGCUAACUUCGUG
This 492-nucleotide ribosomal RNA is filed under the name uncultured bacterium. Its description in RNAcentral is "partial 16S ribosomal RNA". It matches the Rfam family "Bacterial small subunit ribosomal RNA", at positions 29 to 507 of the family's 1533-position model. The record is from RNAcentral.